This 774-nucleotide ribosomal RNA is filed under the name uncultured bacterium. Its description in RNAcentral is "bacterial SSU rRNA". It matches the Rfam family "Bacterial small subunit ribosomal RNA", at positions 8 to 796 of the family's 1533-position model. The record is from RNAcentral.
AGAGUUUGAUCAUGGCUCAGAAUCAACGCUGGCGGCGUGCCUCAGACAUGCAAGUCGAACGAUUAGAGCUCUCUUCGGAGAGUGUAUAGAGUGGCGCACGGGUGAGUAACACGUAAGUAAUCUACCCUCGAGUGGGGAAUAACGUCCGGAAACGGACGCUAAUACCGCAUAAUGCAGCGGCACCGCAAGGUGACAGUUGUUAAAGAUUUAUCGCUUGAGGAGGAGCUUGCGGCAGAUUAGCUAGUUGGUAAGGUAAUGGCUUACCAAGGCUACGAUCUGUAACCGGUCUUAGAGGACGGUCGGUCACACUGACACUGAAUAACGGGUCAGACUCCUACGGGAGGCAGCAGUCGGGAAUUUUGGGCAAUGGGCGAAAGCCUGACCCAGCAACGCCGCGUGAAGGAUGAAGUAUUUCGGUAUGUAAACUUCGAAAGAAUAGGAAGAAUAAAUGACGGUACUAUUUAUAAGGUCCGGCUAACUACGUGCCAGCAGCCGCGGUAAUACGUAGGGACCAAGCGUUGUUCGGAUUUACUGGGCGUAAAGGGCGCGUAGGCGGCUUGCCAAGUCACUUGUGAAAUCUCUGGGCUUAACCCAGAACGGCCAAGUGAAACUGGCAUGCUAGAGUGCAGAAGGGGCAAUCGGAAUUCUUGGUGUAGCGGUGAAAUGCGUAGAUAUCAAGAGGAACACCUGAGGUGAAGACGGGUUGCUGGGCUGACACUGACGCUGAGGCGCGAAAGCCAGGGGAGCAAACGGGAUUAGAUACCCUAGUAGUCC